UCUCCAAACAUGCUGUAACUGAACUAAGUGAUGGAGAUUCAUCCAAAAGGAUAGUGGAAAUAAUCUGCCAAACGAGCUGGUUGAAGUCUGAGCACAGCAGUUGUGAACAGAUUGAGAGGGUCUUGAAAGUCCACAACAUGCAAAGGACCCUCGCCCGGUUCAAAGAAUAGUGAGAGAUGGUCAAGAUCAGAGCCAGCAAGUUAUCCAAGAAGCACCCCCGCUGUUUGGCUGAUGGGAACGAGCUCCUAAGAUUCUAUGGCACGGCCGUGGCUUGCUCGCUUGGUGCCAAUUCUCUUGUGCCAAGUGUCAAACAACUGUGUUGAUAUGAAUUCAAUAUUCUAUCAAACACUCUUGAGGCAGUCAUUAGUUGGUCCAAUUCCUGGUAGAGAUACACUAGCAGACACUACUUUUUUGGUGCACCACCAAGAGGCCAUAUUCAACUUAUCUCGUAGUCCAGCGGCCAGCAAAGAAUAGAACAACAUAGAUUAGUCCCAUUUUAAAGUUUGCCUGCUCUCUCAUGCCAUGCCCGUCUCUUUUUGCAUUGCUCUUGGCUCUUGUUUCAUCUUUGGCUUGGUACAUCAUUUAUCUGUGCAUGAGAUGCUGUUACAGUUGUAGAAAUGCUUUAAAUCCAUCAUUUUGAAGGCUAAUAUCCCGAGACUCCUUAUUCUCUCACUUCGUUAUGCUGUUAAUAUGAGAGGAUGUAUUUCCUCCUCUUUUUAAAUCCAAGUUACGAGAAUUCUCCUGAUCCAAGACUGACUCUUCACAUUUUUUGGCACAGGCUGUGAAGUACUUCUUGGAUGCUAAGACUUUUCAAAAGGUUAAGUUUGUGUACCUGAAGAACAAAUAUGAGAGGAUGUAUUUCCUCCUCUUUUUAAAUCCAAGUUACGAGAAUUCUCCUGAUCCAAGACUGACGCUUCACAUUUUUUGGCGCAGGUUGUGAAGUACUUCUUGGAUGCUAAGACUUUUCAAAAGGUUAAGUUUGUGUACCUGAAGAACAACGACAGUGUUGAGCUCAUGAGAUCAUUCUUUGAUGAGGAGAACCUUCCUACUGAGUUCGGAGGAAGAGCAAAACUGAAGUACGACCAUGAAGAAUUCUCUAGGCUAAUGGGUGAAGAACAACCCUGCUGCAUUGCUUGCUUUAUGUUGGUAUUGGGCUUCUGAUGGCGUAGGAUCUAAGGACAUGGUAAUUCUUCCUUACAAAGACAGCCUUCUGUUAUUCAGUUGGUAUCUGCAACAAUUUGAUUUGGAUGGCAAUCGGGUCAAUCAAGGGCUUACUGUUUAUGGGAAUAAAGGAAGCACAGAUCAGCAUGCAUAAGUAAUUUUUUGAUAAAGGAACGGGCUAUGCUCUAUAUGCCAAUGAUCGUGAGUCUAUAACAGUCACUGUUGAAGAAGUGACCCCUAGAUCAGUGGGGGCUCUUAUAGCAUUGUAUGAGUGAGCAGUUGAGAUAUACGCCUCAUUCAUGCCUAUCAUCAACCUGGUAAAUAGUUUACCUUAUAAUUCUUAUUUAAAUUAGAUGAUUGCUAUAUGUUUUGGGCUUGUUGCUGUUGAGAAUAUGUGUGGCCUCUCUGAGUCAAGAAAUCAAAUCAAUUCAUCCAACUGGCUGUCUUUUCUCUUGGCCCCCGAUGUGCGACUGAAAUUCUUAGGUGUCGAAGCUGGGAAAGAGGCAGCAGCAGAAACAUGGAUAAGAAGAAAAGCAAGCUCGUAGGCAUUGCAGAUGAUGGAUAGAAAGAGAUCCGCAUUGAAAGGACAGAUGAAUUUGGCCAAAUAUUAACCCCAAAGGAAGCUUUCCGAUUGCUUUCCCGUAAAUUUCAUGGAAAAGGGCCUGGCAAAAUGAAGCAAGAGAAGCGCAUGAAGCAAUACCAGGAAGAAUUGAAGUUGAAGCAGACGAAGAAUUCAGACACGCCUUUCUUUGUCUGCAGAGAGGAUGAGGGAAGCUCAAGCCUUUCUUUUUCUUUUCUUUUUUCUUUUUUUCCUAAUAGUAAGCCAUGCUUACAAAGUUCUGGAUGCAUAUUAGUAUGUUAACUUCCUAUGCAAUAAACUUCCUCCCAGUUCUUUACAUGUGUCCACUUUUGAUAGGAUUUGGAAGAAGAUUUGGCAGCAGAACAUGAUCAUCUAUCAACUGGAGUCCAAGAUAAGGGAAUUACGGCAAGUCAUCAAAAGUUUAAUCAUGCAGUACACACAAUUGAUUCUCUGUAGUCAACAUGAUUCCAAGAAUCUGGACAUUUGUUGUUCUGUAUAGCACGCUGUGGAAGAGAAAGAUGAGUUCUUAACACCGGCAAAUGAGGAAGAGUCAAUUGUAUCAUCUGAACCUAUUGUUGAUGCUGAAAGCAAGGUGGCUAAUGGUUAUAUAGAUGCAGAAGUACUUUUUCUCAACUCUUUUGAUUUUAUUGCUUUAAUGUGACUGCAAACCCGACAUGUAUUCAGGCACUUCACUUUA
This is a long non-coding RNA of Eucalyptus grandis, 2438 nucleotides long. RefSeq lists it as uncharacterized. The record is from RefSeq and is a predicted model, not a curated record. Lineage: Eukaryota; Viridiplantae; Streptophyta; Magnoliopsida; Myrtales; Myrtaceae. The transcript has 7 exons.